GACUCGAUAGCUCAAUGGAUAGAGCGGCGGUCUAUAGAUAGCCGAAGAUGCGAGUUCAAAUCCCGCUCGAGCCA
RNAcentral lists this transfer RNA (74 nucleotides) under Paramuricea clavata. It matches the Rfam family "tRNA". Rfam says of the family: Transfer RNA (tRNA) molecules are approximately 80 nucleotides in length. Their secondary structure includes four short double-helical elements and three loops (D, anti-codon, and T loops). The record is from Rfam by way of RNAcentral. Lineage: Eukaryota; Metazoa; Cnidaria; Anthozoa; Malacalcyonacea; Plexauridae.